UGAUAUGGAGUGUCGAGAAAGUUGUAAUUCAUUGGGAUCAGGAAAGAAUAAGUAAAUUUAUAAAUCAUGUCCAUGGCGGCAGGGCAGCGAAACGUCGCCAUGUCGGGUGGUGCAAGCGAGUCCUGCCACCACCACACUGGCACCCACCAGCUGUGGCCGUCCCACCAACACACCCACCUCCCACAACUCUCAUUUAUCGCUUUAAUCAAGACUUUUAACUCUCCUCGACUUCAAGUGCUGCAUGAGGCCGCGCGUGUGGUCACGUCGGCGCAGCGGUGGUGACUGGUCGGGGCGGCGACAUGGACUGGCGGGACGGGGGAUUGUGGGUAACUGAGCGAGCCGGGGAGUCGCCGAGCCCGCACGAGCACCGUGACGUCAUCAUCGCCUGCUGACCUGCGCCUCCCCAUUGGCUAGAAAGCCACCAGAAAGCUGUGAUGUCAUGGGGUCGUCACGGAUACAUCACUGGUAGCAGGGCGGUGUGUGAUCGGGAGGCGGGUGUCAGUGCCGGCCCGGGCCGCUCCUCUGCUGCACAGAUCCGUACACUGCCGCGCCGCUUUGCCAUAGUCACGUGCGUUGACUACGCCUUAGAAACUAGGAACAUAUAUUGCCAGGAUAUUGUAAAUAAUCUAACAUUGUUUGAACAUGGAUUAAAUUUAUGAAUACGAUUACAAGAAUUUAAGUUUUUUUCAAAAAAGCCAAAAUACAAAAUAGUGGAAAAAAUGUCACACGUGGUGAACCCAAGCUCCACGUGUCGCAAGAUUCCUUUACUCCUUUCCGCAUUAUUAUGCCUUUUGUAUAUGCUAUGAACCCUCAGUUUCUCAAAUAUAUAAUGGCUGGAGUAAUAAAGUACUUACCAUGAUUAAUUACGCUGUGAGCCACUAAUUACAUUGAGCUUAGGAAAGAAAACUAAGGUAUGUAAUGCGGUUGAACGUAACGUAUAUUUGGACAAAAGGGGUUUCGCUCAAUAACGUGGUUUUUCUUAUAACGUGGUAAUCUGCAAGGUACAGAAUUUACGUAGAAGGCGGCAGGAUACCAGACGAUUACCAAGAGUGGCAGGAACUUAUCAAUUAUGACCCAACCAAAAUCUGUUCACUUGGGUAAAUUCCCAAAGGGCAGGUCACUGAUGAUAUUGUCAUUGAAAAGAAAAUUAAAUAAAAAUCUAUGGGAGCAUUAUCUACCCCUACGACUCCGGACGCCCAUGUAGUGUGGCUUGUGAAUGUAAAAAGGAAUUGUUGAUCAAAUUCUUCGCUUAUACCUUCAUCCCUUUAUCAUUAAUUUCUCUAAUUCAUUAUUUUUUGCUAUGGUACAGUGGUAGAUCUCUUGCCUCUACACUGUAACCCGCGCUAUUCUCCCUUGGGGUCCCAGAUUUACUACGGGUACACGGAUUUCAUCCACUCCGCGCAGACUUAUCUUCCUUCAUUUUUUUAUUACUAAAGGUAUCCCACUGUAGGGCAAUAAUUUAUUUUACACACUUUUGCAGCGAAUGUGUUUUACAGAUAUUUAGAUUUUGUAACCCAAGUAAUCGUAGUUACUAUCCAGCCCAUUCAUUGUAAUUAUUUUUCUCAUUUCUUUCCCUUACACUCUUUUUCAUUACAGGAUAAGACUUAACAGGGUCAAGGUCAUUUAUUCUAUUAAUGGACUUAAUCCACACGAAAUCUACUGUACUAACACAUCUUUCGUGUGACUAUAUUUUAUGUUAACAGACAUUCGCGUUGAGUAGUUCAUUUCAUUCGCGUCAGUUUUAAAAACGUCACGUAGGUCUACUAUUUGGCGGUGACGAUAAAAAAAUAUGCAUAAUUAUGCACUACUGGUAUUAGCCCGAAAGUAAAAAUUAUUUAAUUAUUAAUUAUAAAAAAAUGAAUCCAAGGUUAAAUUUGAGGUUUGCUAAAUGUUUACGUAUUCUAAUGAGCUGCGAGUCACCGUAGAUUUUGGUUCAUAACGUAUUUCUACGUAAAAAAAUACCGAAAUUUCGUAUAUUUUUCAAUAUAUUGAAUUAGUUUGAUUGAGUAAACAGAUAAUGAUACUAGCAUAAGAUAUAUAUAUAUAUAUAUAUAUAUAUAUAUAUAUAUAUAUAUAUAUAUAUCCUAUGUGAUCAUACACAAUAACAUAAUUGCUAUAAUCUGAAGGCUUUCAGUCAUUCUUCGGAAGUUCCAGCAGUAGGCAAAUGUUUAUGUAGCGAGACAACAUAAGCCACGGUAGACUUGGACUUUAAUGACACUAAUUUUGUGUAAUUCCCAUUCAAGAUUGAUCUAAGUGUGACUCCUUUACUCUUGAAAUGACAAGAGUUUCAUGCCGACAAUAAAAUAAGCAUGAAUUUUGACGUCUGUGAUAACUUCGCCAAGUUUUGGAUGAGCUUACCGAAGAGAAAUACAAUGGUUAAGAAUCUUGUAGUACAUUAAAUCUGAAUUCCGUAAACUUAUUUCAAAUAUCAAUUGCUUGCUCUAGAGGCUCAUUAACCAGGUACAGAAAAUCAAUAAAAUAAUCGCUCAUUAAGUUUGCCCUGUCUCGGUAACUGACAAUGACAUUAAAUAUUAUUUGACUUGUUUUUACAUUUAAAUAAAUAUACAUAAAAAGUA
RNAcentral lists this long non-coding RNA (2576 nucleotides) under Homarus americanus (American lobster). RNAcentral describes it as "uncharacterized LOC121855407". The record is from RNAcentral. Lineage: Eukaryota; Metazoa; Arthropoda; Malacostraca; Decapoda; Nephropidae.